This is a long non-coding RNA of Triticum aestivum (bread wheat), 1975 nucleotides long. RefSeq lists it as uncharacterized. The record is from RefSeq and is a predicted model, not a curated record. Lineage: Eukaryota; Viridiplantae; Streptophyta; Magnoliopsida; Poales; Poaceae. The transcript has 2 exons.
CGUCCAACCCCAACUACUACUUCAUCUGGGCCGUCCGCUUCGGCAUGGCAGACGAUAAAUACCUGUCCUCGGUGUAUCCUCCGACUCCGAGCAAACCACCAACAAAGCCGCCGCGUUCUCCUCUGCGACACGCAACCUUUUCCCCUCCCCCUAUAGACUAGACCAGAUCCUUGAUAUAGAGAAGAACACGCUACCUCUGUCUCGGCAAGGUGAGCCCGUGCGUGAGUCUGUCUACCAUGAAUUUUCCCUCGAAACCCCCGUGUGCUCUCUGGUUCGCAGGUUCCUCGUCGAUCGACGGGCUGGGCUUGCGGCCGUCUUGGAGCGAGAUGCGAGGCGGCUGCAUCUUCCGGUCUGCCCGUCCGUCGAGUCAGAUCUGUUAUCUAUCUGAUGGCCCGGCGGCGGAUCUGGGGGUUCCAGGCGGUCUCGGGUUGACUCUGCGGUGAGGAAGGCGUCUUCUCCGACGUGCACGUGUGGAUCCCGGCUUCUCCGCCUCGCGCGACGACGGCUCUUGUAUUGAUAAUUAUCUGAUGAUAUCUCGAUAAUUAUUACUCCCUCCGUUCCAAAAUAGAUGACCCAACUUUGUACUAAAGUUAGUAUAAAGUUGAGUCAUCUAUUUUGGAACGGAGGGAGUAGAUCUAAGAGAUCGGAGGUAAGAGCAUGUAACAAGCGAGGUGAUCGUGCCAAGAGGGAAAAAGGAGUGAAAAAAGAGAGAUGUGACAUCUAGAGGCCUUUGCCAUGUUGGGUGCGCUCGCAUGGCAGGCCGCCACCGUAAUAAAGAUGGUUCUUGUGUCCCGGGGGGAGAUCGCACGGGGGUUAUUCUGUUUUAGCCCCGGGGUCUCCCCCCAUCGUGUCCUGGUGUGCUCCUUUGUCUGCACCUCUCGUCCGAUCCGAUCUUCCUGGCACAACGUUCUACCGUCGCGAAUCGAUCAUGGAGCUACCGACCAAAGACCAAAGGUACAAUCGAUAAUCUACAGCUGAAGCAUACAUAAACUUAAGACAAAUUACUGCUCUCGUAAAUUGUAUUCUGUUCUGACAUCGUUUACACAGGAAUUCGUAAUCACUGGAACCUAUUUAAGUUACUCUCAUAGUUGUGGUAAAAUUAUUCGUGUGAUUCGCUGUUGCAUUCGUGUGAUUCGCUGUUGCAUAUAGUACCACAUCACAGCUCAAAUUUGCACUUCAAUAACAAUCGGCGGUCCAAACGACCAAAUCGCUUUGGUAUCAGAUUCAAUAUAUUUUAUUUUUUCCUCAGAAUAUGGUAUAUGUGUCAGGUUGUUAUUGUGUCUAAAUUUAUGUUAAUAUAUUUGAUGAUCACAAUUUGAUCUUGGUCUCCUAUUUCAAUUUGUAAACUCUUACCUAAUGUAGCCUGAACAGCUGUAUGAUCGGAUUGUAUAGUACACAAAUGAAAUCUACAGUUAUCUUCCCUGGACCUGGACAUCAUAUUUGUUCUAAUCGCCAUUGGCUGAACCACUAUGAAGAAGCCUGCCUUGAUUUUGGAAUAUGUGCUCAGCAGAAGAAUCUAACCUGGGACGUGGACCUCAAUUCCGGUCAUUGUAGGCCCAGCAGACUUUCAGAAACUGGUUAAGAUGUGCUCUUCAUCAGUAAAUUAUGUGAUAUUUGAUUCUUCUGCAGUUAGUCCGAAGCUGGUUAAGAUGUACUCUUCAUUAGUAAAUUAUGUACUAUUUGAUUCUUCUGCAGUUAGUCCGUGGUUAGUUUUAGUUCAUACAUUGCUUUUAUGCCACACAUAAUUUCAUAUUGAGCAAGUCUAUUUUCAAUCUUCUGAACUAUUUUUUUCCCAUUAUAGUUCCAAUAUAUCUGUCAGUAGUUUUAGUUGUGUUUUUGUCCAGUUGUGUACACAUUCUGUAUAGGGAUUUUCGUGGAUCUUGUGCAGUUGGUUUAUUGUAGUACAUAGUUCUGUGUUAACUGCAAAAUUCAUGACAUGGUGUAGGUUGAUAAAUGAAUUGGUAUGUGCAGAUAA